AACAACCUCAAUGUUCAACAAGAGGAUUCUUUGCAGCCUUUGGAAACUACGCUGUGGAAAGAUACCUGUAAUGUGAAAAAAUCCUCAUGCUAGGUGAAGAGAAACAAAGCAGGUUACAAAGAAAAAGUUUGCCAGCCCCCAUUUCGAAGACAGAAACAGAACACCUUUUCCACGUGGACCGCCGUUCUGAGAUAAAUGCUGGGUUCAUAAAGCGACCUCACGGAGUGCCAGCAAGGAUGAAGUAACCGCAUCUGAGGACACAUUUAGGACGGGGCUUUGUGAAGAGUCAGG
Eptesicus fuscus (big brown bat) is the source of this 291-nucleotide long non-coding RNA. RefSeq lists it as uncharacterized. The record is from RefSeq and is a predicted model, not a curated record. Lineage: Eukaryota; Metazoa; Chordata; Mammalia; Chiroptera; Vespertilionidae. The transcript has 3 exons.